GAUGAACGCUAGCGGCAGGCCUAAUACAUGCAAGUCGGACGGGAUUCAGGAGCUUGCUUCUGCUGAGAGUGGCGCACGGGUGCGUAACACGUAUGUAACCUACCUUUAUCAGGGGGAUAGCCUCUCGAAAGAGAGAUUAAGCCCGCAUAAAAUCACAGCACAGCAUUGUGUAAUGAUCAAAUAUUUAUAGGAUAAAGAUGGGCAUGCGGAACAUUAGCUAGAUGGCGGGGUAACGGCCACCAUGGCGACGAUGUUUAGGGGAUCUGAGAGGAUGGCCCCCCACACUGGUACUGAGACACGGACCAGACGCCUACGGGAGGCAGCAGUAAGGAAUAUUGGUCAAUGGGCGGAAGCCUGAACCAGCCAUGCCGCGUGCAGGAAGACGGCCCUACGGGUUGUAAACUGCUUUUAUACGGGAAUAAACCCAGAUACGUGUAUCUGGCUGAAUGUACUGUAAGAAUAAGGAUCGGCUAACUCCGUG
RNAcentral lists this ribosomal RNA (481 nucleotides) under uncultured bacterium. RNAcentral describes it as "partial 16S ribosomal RNA". It matches the Rfam family "Bacterial small subunit ribosomal RNA", at positions 28 to 507 of the family's 1533-position model. The record is from RNAcentral.